RNAcentral lists this non-coding RNA (97 nucleotides) under Lotharella oceanica. Lineage: Eukaryota; Cercozoa; Chlorarachniophyceae. The record is from RNAcentral.
AAAACAAAACACACGUACCUGUAAAUACACAAGACGUAUUUGUUGCCAUUUUUAAUUCCGUUUCUUCUCUCACUUUUUUUUUUCUUCUUACUUUCUG